This is a small nuclear RNA of Neomonachus schauinslandi (Hawaiian monk seal), 106 nucleotides long. The record is from RefSeq and is a predicted model, not a curated record. Lineage: Eukaryota; Metazoa; Chordata; Mammalia; Carnivora; Phocidae.
GUGCUCGCUUUGGAGCACGUAUACUAAAACUGUAACCAUACAGAGAAGAUUAGCAUAGUCCCUGUGCGCAGAUCACAUGCAAAUUCGUGAAGCAUUUCAUAUUUAA